UCACUCUCGGUCCCUCCCUA
Molecule: microRNA, 20 nt
Filed under: Macaca mulatta (Rhesus monkey)
Lineage: Eukaryota; Metazoa; Chordata; Mammalia; Primates; Cercopithecidae
Description: mml-miR-6794-3p
Source: miRBase by way of RNAcentral